ACGGCAGGUCAGUAUGCCCCGAAACUCUGGGGCCACACGCGGGCUGCAAUGGUAGCGACAAUUGGUUUCGAAUCCGAAAGGAUGAGGUAAUCCACAAACGCUACCACAGUUAUGACUGAGGGCUGCAACUCGCCCUCACGAAUAUGGAAUCCCUAGUAACUGCGUGUCAUUAUCGCGCGGUGAAUACGUCCCUGCUCCUU
RNAcentral lists this ribosomal RNA (200 nucleotides) under uncultured prokaryote. RNAcentral describes it as "partial 16S ribosomal RNA". It matches the Rfam family "Archaeal small subunit ribosomal RNA", at positions 1138 to 1338 of the family's 1478-position model. The record is from RNAcentral.